AUACGGAGGGUGCGAGCGUUAAUCGGAAUUACUGGGCGUAAAGCGUACGUAGGCGGUUGGUUAAGUUAGAUGUGAAAGCCCCGGGCUUAACCUGGGAACUGCAUUUAAAACUGGCAAACUAGAGUUGAGUAGAGGGGAGUGGAAUUUCAGGUGUAGCGGUGAAAUGCGUAGAGAUCUGAAGGAACACCAGUGGCGAAGGCGACUCCCUGGACUCGAACUGACGCUGAGGUACGAAAGCGUGGGUAGCAAACGGGAUUAGAAACCCUUGUAGUCC
This 274-nucleotide ribosomal RNA is filed under the name uncultured bacterium. RNAcentral describes it as "partial 16S ribosomal RNA". It matches the Rfam family "Bacterial small subunit ribosomal RNA", at positions 523 to 796 of the family's 1533-position model. The record is from RNAcentral.